AUGAACGCUGGCGGCGUGCCUCAUACAUGCAAGUCGAGCGAACAGACGAGGAGCUUGCUCCUUUGACGUUAGCGGCGGACGGGUGAGUAACACGUGGGUAACCUACCUAUAAGACUGGGAUAACUUCGGGAAACCGGAGCUAAUACCGGAUAAUAUUUCGAACCGCAUGGUUCGAUAGUGAAAGAUGGCUUUGCUAUCACUUAUAGAUGGACCUGCGCCGUAUUAGCUAGUUGGUAAGGUAACGGCUUACCAAGGCAACGAUACGUAGCCGACCUGAGAGGGUGAUCGGCCACACUGGAACUGAGACACGGUCCAGACUCCUACGGGAGGCAGCAGUAGGGAAUCUUCCGCAAUGGGCGAAAGCCUGACGGAGCAACGCCGCGUGAGUGAUGAAGGUCUUCGGAUCGUAAAACUCUGUUAUUAGGGAAGAACAAACGUGUAAGUAACUGUGCACGUCUUGACGGUACCUAAUCAGAAAGCCACGGCUAACUACGUG
This 496-nucleotide ribosomal RNA is filed under the name uncultured bacterium. RNAcentral describes it as "partial 16S ribosomal RNA". It matches the Rfam family "Bacterial small subunit ribosomal RNA", at positions 29 to 507 of the family's 1533-position model. The record is from RNAcentral.